GCUGGAAACGGUUGCUAAUACUCUAUACGCCGAGAGGUAAAAGGAUUUAUCCACCUUAGGAAGAGCUCGCGUCUGAUUAGCUUGUUGGUAAGGUAAUGGCUUACCAAGGCGACGAUCAGUAGCUGGUUUGAGAGGACGACCAGCCACACUGGGACUGAGACACGGCCCAGACUCCUACGGGAGGCAGCAGUGGGGAAUUUUCCGCAAUGGGCGAAAGCCUGACGGAGCAAUACCGCGUGAGGGAUGAAAGCCUGUGGGUUGUAAACCUCUUUUCUCAAGGAAGAAGUUCUGACGGUACUUGAGGAAUAAGCAUCGGCUAACUCUGUGCCAGCAGCCGCGGUAAUACAGAGGAUGCAAGCGUUAUCCGGAAUCACUGGGCAUAAAGCGUCUGUAGGUCGCCUACCAAGUCUGCUGUUAAAGAUCAGGGCCUAACCCUGGGAAAGCAGUGGAAACUAGUAGGCUUGAGUAUGGUAGAGGUAGAGGGAAUUCCUGGUGUAGCGGUGAAAUGCGUAGAUAUUAGGAAGAACACCAAUGGCGAAAGCACUCUACUGGGCCAUAACUGACACUGAGAGACGACAGCUAGGGGAGCAAAUGGGAUUAGAUACCCCAGUAGUC
Molecule: ribosomal RNA, 615 nt
Filed under: uncultured phototrophic eukaryote
Lineage: Eukaryota
Description: bacterial SSU rRNA
Rfam family: Bacterial small subunit ribosomal RNA
Source: RNAcentral